CGGCCGCGUCGACAUGGCGUGCCUUUUGUUAGAAUGAACCGGCGAGUUACGAUAACUAGCGAGGUUAAGGGUAAGGCCCGGAGCCGAAGCGAAAGCGAGUCUGAAAAGGGCGUAUAGUUAGUUGUUGUAGACCCGAAACCCACGUAGAGCUAGCCAUGAGCAGGAUGAAGCUGUAGUAAGAUAUAGUGGAGGUCCGAACUAUAGUCUGUUGAAAAGACUUGGAUGACUUGUGGCUAGAGGUGAAAUUCCAAUCGAACCGGAGAUAGCUGGUUCUCCCGAAACUAGCUUUAGGGCUUAGCGUCAAUCAAGACUUUUAUGGGGUUAGAGGCACUGAAUAGUAGAUGGUCCCAUCCCGGGUUACCGAGUUCAGCAAACUCC
This 378-nucleotide ribosomal RNA is filed under the name uncultured Acholeplasma sp. RNAcentral's name for it is "bacterial LSU rRNA". It matches the Rfam family "Bacterial large subunit ribosomal RNA", at positions 580 to 957 of the family's 2925-position model. Lineage: Bacteria; Bacillati; Mycoplasmatota; Mollicutes; Acholeplasmatales; Acholeplasmataceae. The record is from RNAcentral.